UGGGGAAUAUUGGACAAUGGGCGCAAGCCUGAUCCAGCCAUGCCGCGUGAGUGAUGAAGGCCCUAGGGUUGUAAAGCUCUUUCACCGGUGAAGAUAAUGACGGUAACCGGAGAAGAAGCCCCGGCUAACUUCGUGCCAGCAGCCGCGGUAAUACGAAGGGGGCUAGCGUUGUUCGGAUUUACUGGGCGUAAAGCGCACGUAGGCGGACUUUUAAGUCAGGGGUGAAAUCCCGGGGCUCAACCCCGGAACUGCCUUUGAUACUGGAAGUCUUGAGUAUGGUAGAGGUGAGUGGAAUUCCGAGUGUAGAGGUGAAAUUCGUAGAUAUCGGGAAGAACACCAAUGGCGAAGGCAGGUCUCUGGGCUGUUACUGACGCUGAGAAGCGAAAGCGUGGGGAGCGAACAGG
Molecule: ribosomal RNA, 404 nt
Filed under: Verrucomicrobiota bacterium
Lineage: Bacteria; Pseudomonadati; Verrucomicrobiota
Description: Verrucomicrobia bacterium partial 16S ribosomal RNA
Rfam family: Bacterial small subunit ribosomal RNA
Source: RNAcentral